RNAcentral lists this ribosomal RNA (806 nucleotides) under uncultured beta proteobacterium. RNAcentral's name for it is "bacterial SSU rRNA". It matches the Rfam family "Bacterial small subunit ribosomal RNA", at positions 613 to 1420 of the family's 1533-position model. Lineage: Bacteria; Pseudomonadati; Pseudomonadota; Betaproteobacteria. The record is from RNAcentral.
CCUGGGAAUGGCGUUUUGAACUGGCAGUCUAGAGUGCGUCAGAGGGGGGUGGAAUUCCACGUGUAGCAGUGAAAUGCGUAGAGAUGUGGAGGAACACCGAUGGCGAAGGCAGCCCCCUGGGAUGACACUGACGCUCAUGUACGAAAGCGUGGGUAGCAAACAGGAUUAGAUACCCUGGUAGUCCACGCCCUAAACGAUGUCAACUGGUUGUUGGGGGAGUGAAAUCCCUUUAGUAACGAAGCUAACGCGUGAAGUUGACCGCAUGGGGAGUACGGUCGCAAGAUUAAAACUCAAAGGAAUUGACGGGGACCCGCACAAGCGGUGGAUGAUGUGGAUUAAUUCGAUGCAACGCGAAAAACCUUACCUACCCUUGACAUGUCCGGAAUCCUGCAGAGAUGCGGGAGUGCCCGAAAGGGAAUCGGAACACAGGUGCUGCAUGGCUGUCGUCAGCUCGUGUCGCGAGAUGUUGGGUUAAGUCCCGCAACGAGCGCAACCCUUAUCAUUAGUUGCUACGCAAGGGCACUCUAAUGAGACUGCCGGUGACAAACCGGAGGACGGUGGGGAUGACGUCAAGUCCUCAUGGCCCUUAUGGGUAGGGCUUCACACGUCAUACAAUGGUCGGUACAGAGGGUUGCCAAGCCGCGAGGUGGAGCCAAUCCCAGAAAGCCGAUCGUAGUCCGGAUUGUUCUCUGCAACUCGAGAGCAUGAAGUCGGAAUCGCUAGUAAUCGCGGAUCAGCAUGUCGCGGUGAAUACGUUCCCGGGUCUUGUACACACCGCCCGUCCCCCCCAUGGGAACUGGAGAGAG